This 522-nucleotide ribosomal RNA is filed under the name uncultured bacterium. RNAcentral describes it as "bacterial SSU rRNA". It matches the Rfam family "Bacterial small subunit ribosomal RNA", at positions 400 to 916 of the family's 1533-position model. The record is from RNAcentral.
CGUGAGUGAGAAGCUCGGGUGUAAGCUCUUCAGCCGGAAGAAAUCGCGCAGGAUAAUACUCUGCGUGGAUGAACGGUACCGGAAGAGAAGCACCGGCUAACUACGUGCCAGCAGCCGCGGUAAUACGUAGGGUGCGAGCGUUAAUCGGAUUACUGGGCGUAAAGCGUGCGCAGGCGGUUAUGUAAGACAGAUGUGAAAAUCCCCGGGGCUCAACCUGGGAACUGCGUUUGUGACUGCAUAACUAGAGUACGGCAGAGGGAGGUGGAAAUUCCGCGUGUAGCAGUGAAAAUGCGUAGAUAUGCGGAGGAACACCGAUGGCGAAGGCAGCCUCCUGGGCCAGUACUGACGCUCAUGCACGAAAGCGUGGGGAGCAAACAGGAUUAGAUACCCUGGUAGUCCACGCCCCUAAACGAUGUCAACUAGUUGUUCGGUGAGGAGACUCAUUGAGUAACGCAGCUAACGCCGUGAAGUUGACCGCCUGGGGAGUACGGCCGCAAGGUUAAAACUCAAAGGAAUUGACGG